RNAcentral lists this ribosomal RNA (405 nucleotides) under uncultured bacterium. RNAcentral describes it as "bacterial SSU rRNA". It matches the Rfam family "Bacterial small subunit ribosomal RNA", at positions 355 to 756 of the family's 1533-position model. The record is from RNAcentral.
UGAGGAAUAUUGGUCAAUGGGCGAGAGCCUGAACCAGCCAAGUAGCGUGCAGGAAGACGGCCCUAUGGGUUGUAAACUGCUUUUAUAAGGGAAUAAAGUGAGCCUCGUGAGGCUUUUUGCAUGUACCUUAUGAAUAAGGACCGGCUAAUUCCGUGCCAGCAGCCGCGGUAAUACGGAAGGUCCGGGCGUUAUCCGGAUUUAUUGGGUUUAAAGGGAGCGUAGGCCGGAGAUUAAGCGUGUUGUGAAAUGUAGAUGCUCAACAUCUGCACUGCAGCGCGAACUGGUUUCCUUGAGUACGCACAAAGUGGGCGGAAUUCGUGGUGUAGCGGUGAAAUGCUUAGAUAUCACGUUAUUCUACCGAUUGCGAAGGCAGCUCACUGGAGCGCAACUGACGCUGAAGCUCGA